Molecule: long non-coding RNA, 1816 nt
Filed under: Manihot esculenta (cassava)
Lineage: Eukaryota; Viridiplantae; Streptophyta; Magnoliopsida; Malpighiales; Euphorbiaceae
Description: long non-coding RNA (MESC_LNC006358)
Source: RNAcentral
GAGUGUUCGUGAAAUUCUCUCGGAGGGUUGAUAGAAGACAGCUCUAAGCAAACUUAAAUCGUUAAAAUCACAUGGAUGGUCCUUUAGUUUGAUUUUAGGAAGAGAUAAUUCAAGCAGACACUGAUGUAUUGAUUCUUUUCAGAUUGCUUUCAAGGGUUUCAAUGAAGAUUGGGCAAAAGGGUGAUUUGGAAACUGUGUGAGGUAUUUUUCUUAUUCCUCCAUCUACUUUCUGUGUUUUUACUACACCAGCUGUACGGAAUUAUAGCUUGCUUUUCGUCUAUCGAAGAAUUUAGCCUUUUGUUGUGUUUGGUAUAAUACGUUUUUCAUCAAUAGUCUUCAGCUGUUCUGCUAAUGGGAUAGUGAAAUUAAAACCAAACGGGUACCUGAAAAUUUCUUCCCGGGGAUAAGAAUUGCAGCAGAAAUCAAAUGGGGGAUACGAAAUUCAGUAUCAAAAGUGCUCUUAGUUUUAUUUUCUUUAAUAAUAAUUUGAUAGAAAAAGAUGAAAUUAGAACAGCAAGAUAUCUUUGAUCAACAAGCAGUACAAAUAAACAUACUUUCACUGGAAAUCAAAAUUCAAAAGUCAAAACAUUAUAAAGAAAACAAAGUCUUCCUUUUACUGUAUGGCCUACUAUCUUGCUAGGGGAGUUGAUUCAGUAAUCAUUUCAAUGGAAGCUAUUGGUUCACUCCUAGAAUGUCCCUUCCUCUUUUCAGUUCUUUCUGUUGCUAAGCAUUCAUUUAGUUCUGUCACUACUUGAUGCAUAGUUGGCCUGCCAGCAGAAAUUGGGGUUGUACAGGCCAUUGCUAUUUCUACUGCUUUCCAGACAGAAUUAUUGUCGAAAUCUCCACCUAACCUUGGAUCAACAACAUUUUUAAUGUCCCCGUUUGCGAGCAGAGAACUAACCCAUUGACGCAGAUGAAUAUUCCUCUCACCUCCUCCUGCAAUCACUGGCCUUCCUGUGAUUAUCUUUAAGAGAACAACCCCGAAGCUAUACACAUCACUUUUCUCUGUUAGCCAGUUUGUCACAGAAUACCUACAAGCCCAAAUUUGGAACUCAAGGCAUAUAAAUUUUCAGUUUCCUAUAGACCAUGAAAUUCUUUUACUUGAACAGAUAAACCAUUUCAUUUUAUUUGAUAUAGACUACUCACUCAGGAUCAAGGUAGCCAGGGGUGCCAGCAACAACUGUUGUUACAUGAGUGCCACCUUCAACCGGGAAAGAUCUGGACAGUCCAAAAUCAGCAAGUCUUGCUUGGAAAUUGUCAUUUAAUAAAAUGUUUGAUGUCUUCACAUCCCUGUGCACAAUUGGUGGUUUGCUUCCAUUGUGCAGAUAUUCCCAUCCUACAUUCUGAUUCCAUCAAUACCUUGUGGCCAUAAAUUAUAAAAGAUAGAGUGGAAGCAAAAUUAUGGAAGAUAGUUGUCUCCAGUCCAGCUAACCUUUUGCUGCUUCAACUACUAUGUUUAGUCUCCUCUCCCAUGUCAAUAUAUAUUUGUUUGAACCUGCAUCUGUGCAGAAGCUGUUUCAAAUUUCUGGUAGUGGUUGUUUACUGGAAAAUAGACUUACCUUUGCUAUUGAGUCUGAAAUUAUUUCUGAUUAAAACUAACCUGACAAAAAUUUUUCUAAAUCUCCAUUAACCAUGUACUCAUAGAUGAGUCCCCUGUUGGUGCCUUCGUCACAGAACCCAACAAGUGUUGUCAAGUUUCGGUGAUGAACUCGCAAAAGAAGGUUGACCUCUGCCUGAAACUGCCUAUACCCCUGGACUGAUGAUGGAGAGAGCAUCUUCACAGCUACUUGAGUGUCAUCAUCUAAGUAGCCAUGGU